Molecule: ribosomal RNA, 638 nt
Filed under: Mesophalera sigmata
Lineage: Eukaryota; Metazoa; Arthropoda; Insecta; Lepidoptera; Notodontidae
Also listed under: 1 other name
Description: eukaryotic LSU rRNA
Source: RNAcentral
GGGGUAAACCUGCGAAACUCGAAUGAACGAACGGAGAGAUUCAUCGUCAUUCCGCGGCGUACCCGUGCGCGUAUCCAGAUGUUCGUCGACUUCGGUCGGCGGGCACUGCGCGUACGUGUCGCGUCCGCGGACGGCGUGCACUUCUCUCUCAGUAACAUAAUACAUCGCGACCCGUUCGAUGUCGGUCUAAGCGCCGUUCGGGAGCCCCGCCGUCCCUUCACGGGGGCGACGGGACCGUCGACGGACGCCGACCGGCCGUCGGACGGUAUAUAUCAAAGACACGCGCACGCGUUUAUAACGCGUCCGGCCCGACGCAAGUCGUCGUCGUGUCCGACGUCACCGCCCGAGUGCGGACGUCGGCGCGGCGCGUCUGUCGUCGCAGCCGUGCAGUCUCGGACCGUGCGCGUCUCGGUCAGCGAUGAUUCAGUUUCGGGCACUCGCAGGACCCGUCUUGAAACACGGACCAAGGAGUCUAGCAUGUAUGCGAGUCAUUGAGAUUAUCAACAAUAAACUGAAAGGCGUAACGAAAGUGAAGGUGUGCGCUUGUCGCGCGCUCAGGGAGGAUGGAGCCUCGAUCUAGGUCGAACUCUCGCACUCCCGAGGCGUCUCGUUUCCAAUCCGUGAAUGCAGGCGCGCUC